CUGGAACAUGGUGGGCUCAGUGAAAGAGGACCCGCUCCCUCCGUAGUUAUAAAGUGCUUAUUUCCAGACAGUAACUAAUUGUGCUGUGGCUGCUCUUGGUCGAGUCUUUUGAUCUUCUUAGUGGAACUAACGAACCUUUUACCUGAACACCUGACUCAGAGUUCAACAUCUGCUCUGGUUUCAAUCUGACAGGUCAGUUCAUGUUUUCAGGUAUUUACACUGUAAACUGAAACAUCUGUAAACACAAGGUGAUUUUUUUCCAGUGUCUUACAACUGCCCUAAACUUAUCCUUCCCAACAUUUUGGUAGAGACAUUAUCAGUUCUCCAGAGUGUUGAUCACUGAAUUUUAUAGCAAAAUAUUUAAUAUAUUGUCUUUUAAAAAAAGAGAAGGUGUUAUGGUUCUGUCCCAGUGUGGCUCUAUUUCUCUCCACCAGUCCACCAGAUGCCCUCAGGCUUUUCUGCCUGUUUAAGACUUGACUGAGUGGGAGGAAGGACAGAUAAAAGAGGUUGCAGAUUAUAUUUAAGGGCCACUUGAGAUACUGUUGCUCGCUACAUUGAAUCUCGUAGGAACUAAACACUAAAGCGAACUGAAACACUAGUUACGUUAUUCAGAGCUGCAGUUGUCUUUGAGUUCAAUUCAUGUCGUUACAUGCAGCCUUAAUAUGACGACCACUCCGCUUGGCAGGCUGAUUUAUUCAUGUUUUUGUCAACAGCAGUGUAUGCUGCUAAGUUUAUUCUGCUGUGUGCUCAUUGUGCACUUAAUUAAGUUGUGUUCAUGUGAGUGCUGGGACAGUUUCUGCAUGGUUAUAUUGUGUUUUCUGGGGUUUUUUGGUUUUCUGUUUCCCUUCUGUGAUCCUGUGCUCCACACCUGUCCUGCAUCAGUCUCGAUAGCCCUGCCCUGCUCCCCGUGUCUUCCCCAGCCAAUCAGC
Molecule: long non-coding RNA, 929 nt
Organism: Thunnus maccoyii (southern bluefin tuna)
Lineage: Eukaryota; Metazoa; Chordata; Actinopteri; Scombriformes; Scombridae
Exons: 3
Source: RefSeq, a predicted model, not a curated record